This is a long non-coding RNA of Homo sapiens (human), 520 nucleotides long. RefSeq annotates it as long independently transcribed non-coding RNA 2143. The transcript is spliced from 4 exons. The record is from RefSeq and is marked validated. NCBI's taxonomy places the organism in Eukaryota, Metazoa, Chordata, Mammalia, Primates, Hominidae.
AGGUACUGAGAGAGGACGAAGGCUUCACGAGCGUGUUUGAAACCAAGACUUGAUAGGAAUUUUACUUUAACGGAAGAUAGCGGUGAGGGCUUGAACACUAAGGAAUUAAUGAGAGAUCAGCCCCUUUAGCGACUCAAAGCAUAUUAUAACUCCAGCUGGUCAAAAAGAGAGGAAAUAAAUAAUAUAACAGGAACAACUGGAAGAGCAAGUGCAGCAUCAGGUUGGUGCAUUUCUUCUGAUCAAAAGGUCGAAUUGCAACUGGUCUUUGAAGAGUGUGCUGGUGACAGUGUGCAACCUUUGCAGUAGCUCCUGGACUGGCCCUAGACUGCUGUCAAAUUAAACCAGCACUGUAAAGAAGAGAGCAAGUUGAAUGAAGUUGAAUGAAGGGGCAUCUUAAUUCCAAUCCUGGCUCUAAUGCUGACUGUAAGCAUGACCCCGGAUGAGUUAUUCACUCUCUCAGUCUCAGUCUCCUCAUCCACAAAGCAGGGAUCACAAUAAAUGAAUAGCACCUUUCACAGAA